AGCCCAUCCACGCUCGGCUGCCUGACGGCAGCGAUGCGGACAUUGGCCCUCCGARCCGCGAGGUGCGGUGGGCCUAAGUGUGCGGCCGUCGUACGUGGCCGGGAGCGGCGAGUGGUGGGCUACUGCGCGCGYCGCCCCGAGCUCCGUACCGACACGGGGCCYUGUUCGACCCCCURRCGAUGAGCRGCCGCCGCGGCUUGCGCCGCGCGUCGCCAUCGGAC
RNAcentral lists this unclassified non-coding RNA (221 nucleotides) under Carex obtusata. RNAcentral describes it as "internal transcriber spacer 2". Lineage: Eukaryota; Viridiplantae; Streptophyta; Magnoliopsida; Poales; Cyperaceae. The record is from RNAcentral.